UACGGGGGGGGCAAGCGUUGUUCGGAAUUACUGGGCGUAAAGGGCUCGUAGGCGGCCAACUAAGUCAGACGUGAAAUCCCUCGGCUUAACCGGGGAACUGCGUCUGAUACUGGAUGGCUUGAGAUUGGGAGAGGGAUGCGGAAUUCCAGGUGUAGCGGUGAAAUGCGUAGAUAUCUGGAGGAACACCUGCGGCGAAGGCGGGUUGCUGGGCUGAUACUGACGCUGAGGCGCGAAAGCCAGGGGAGCGAACGGG
Molecule: ribosomal RNA, 253 nt
Filed under: uncultured bacterium
Lineage: Bacteria
Description: partial 16S ribosomal RNA
Rfam family: Bacterial small subunit ribosomal RNA
Source: RNAcentral